AAGAUGGCGGCGCACAAGUCAGGUCCGGCACAUGUUUCCGCGGAGCGGACCCAGCAAUGACGGAUGAUAUCACCUCUUCUUCUCUGGUGAGAGUCUGAGGAUAGAGACUUUUUUCUCACCAUGAAUGUCACCCCAGAGGUCAAGAGUCGUGGGAUGAAGUUUGCUGAGGAGCAGCUGCUAAAGCAUGGAUGGACUCAAGGCAAAGGCCUCGGCCGGAAGGAGAAUGGUAUCACUCAGGCUCUCAGGGUGACACUGAAGCAAGACACUCAUGGGGUAGGACAUGACCCUGCCAAGGAGUUCACAAACCACUGGUGGAAUGAGCUCUUCAACAAGACUGCGGCCAACUUGGUAGUGGAAACUGGGCAGGUAUGAGCUCUUGAUAGAUGGGCACAUGAAACAGAGGGCCUGGGACCUGUGGCGUAGGCAGUCAUGAUAUGUCACCCAUUCACUGGUACUGAUAAUUCUCUACAGGAUGGAGUACAGAUAAGGAGCCUUUCUAAGGAGACCACCCGUUAUAAUCAUCCCAAGCCCAACUUGCUGUAUCAGAAGUUUGUGAAGGUAUUAGAGGCUGUGGGUAACAGAGUCCAUCCUUUUUCUCUUCCCUGGUUUCCCUGGGGCCUGAACAGUUGCCUUGUAUGCCUUAUCAAUUCUCA
This 653-nucleotide long non-coding RNA is filed under the name Homo sapiens (human). RNAcentral describes it as "non-protein coding lnc-GPATCH4-1:7". The record is from RNAcentral. Lineage: Eukaryota; Metazoa; Chordata; Mammalia; Primates; Hominidae.